CCUACGGGAGGCUGCAGUGGGGAAUAUUGGACAAUGGGGGGAACCCUGAUCCAGCCAUGCCGCGUGUGUGAAGAAGGCCCUCGGGUUGUAAAGCACUUUCAGUGAGGAAGAACGCCUGGUGGUUAAUACCCAUCAGGAAAGACAUCACUCACAGAAGAAGCACCGGCUAACUCCGUGCCAGCAGCCGCGGUAAUACGGAGGGUGCGAGCGUUAAUCGGAAUUACUGGGCGUAAAGCACGCGUAGGUGGCUUGAUAAGCCGGUUGUGAAAGCCCCGGGCUCAACCUGGGAACGGCAUCCGGAACUGUCAAGCUAGAGUGCAGGAGAGGAAGGUAGAAUUCCCGGUGUAGCGGUGAAAUGCGUAGAGAUCGGGAGGAAUACCAGUGGCGAAGGCGGCCUUCUGGACUGACACUGACACUGAGGUGCGAAAGCGUGGGUAGCAAACAGGAUUAGAUACCCUAGUAGUC
This 465-nucleotide ribosomal RNA is filed under the name Vreelandella stevensii. RNAcentral's name for it is "partial 16S ribosomal RNA". It matches the Rfam family "Bacterial small subunit ribosomal RNA", at positions 338 to 795 of the family's 1533-position model. The record is from RNAcentral. Lineage: Bacteria; Pseudomonadati; Pseudomonadota; Gammaproteobacteria; Oceanospirillales; Halomonadaceae.